Molecule: long non-coding RNA, 835 nt
Organism: Mytilus californianus (California mussel)
Lineage: Eukaryota; Metazoa; Mollusca; Bivalvia; Mytilida; Mytilidae
Exons: 2
Source: RefSeq, a predicted model, not a curated record
UUUUUUUUUUCUUUUAAAAUUUUCCAUUUUAAGUUGGUAAUUUCUGAUUUAUAUUUAAAAGCAAAUAAUAAUGAUAUGGUAGGAGAUACACACCAAACAGGAUGUGUAAAUUAUUAUAUAAUAAGUAUUGUGCAAUAGCAAGAAAUUUUCAAUUCCACAGUAUUGCACAAUAGCAAGAAAUCUUCAAUUGCACAGUAUUGCGCAAUAGCAAGAAAUCUUCAAUUGCACAGUAUUGCGCAAUAGCAAGAAAUAUCCAAUAGUACAAUAUUGCGCAAUAGCAAGAAAUUGUCAAUUGUACAGUAUUGCGCAAUAGCAAGAAAUAUUCAAUUGCACAGUAUUGUGCAAAAGAAGAUACUUCGUAUAAAUUGCUUAUUUCUUGAUCAAUUUCAAUGGGGUUUUAUUCUUGAAUUCUUGGGGUUCUUUAAUAUGCUGAAUCUUACCGUGUAUUAAGUUUUUGGAUUUUGGGCCCCGUUUUUAAAUUGGUCCACAUUGAGGUCCAAAGGGUCCAAAAUUUAACUUUGUUUGAUUUCAUCAAAAAUUGAAUUAUUGGGGUUCUUUGAUAUGCCGAAUCUAACCGUGUAUUUAGAUUCUUAAUUUUUGGUUCUGUUUUCAAAUUGGUCUACAUUAAGGUCCAAAGGGUCCAAAAUUAAACUUAGUUUGAUUUUAACAAAAAUUGAAUUUUUAGGGUUCUUUGAUAUGCUGAAUCUAAACAUGUAUUUAGAUUUUUGAUUAUGGGCCCAGUUUUCAAGUUGGUCCAAAUCGGGGUCCCAAAUUAAACUUUGUUUGAUUUCAACAAAAAUUGAAUAUAUGGGGUUCUUUGAUGUGCUGAAUCUAA